RNAcentral lists this non-coding RNA (21 nucleotides) under Arabidopsis thaliana (thale cress). The record is from RNAcentral. Lineage: Eukaryota; Viridiplantae; Streptophyta; Magnoliopsida; Brassicales; Brassicaceae.
UGUGCUAUAUUACGGACCCAA